ACUCAAGACCAUACCGCCUUGAAAGCACCGGUUCUCGUCCGACCACCAAGGCUAAGUAGCGUUGGGCCUGGUUAGUACUUGCAUGGGUGACCGAAUGGGCAUACCGGGUGUUGCCGGCA
RNAcentral lists this ribosomal RNA (119 nucleotides) under Trichobilharzia regenti. The record is from RNAcentral. Lineage: Eukaryota; Metazoa; Platyhelminthes; Trematoda; Strigeidida; Schistosomatidae.